RNAcentral lists this ribosomal RNA (490 nucleotides) under uncultured bacterium. Its description in RNAcentral is "partial 16S ribosomal RNA". It matches the Rfam family "Bacterial small subunit ribosomal RNA", at positions 28 to 507 of the family's 1533-position model. The record is from RNAcentral.
GAUGAACGCUAGCUACAGGCUUAACACAUGCAAGUCGCGGGGCAGCAUGGGGGUUGCUUGCAAUCCCCGAUGGCGACCGGCGCACGGGUGAGUAACGCGUAUCCAACCUGCCCUUCACCACGGGAUAACCCGGCGAAAGUCGGACUAAUACCGUAUGUUGUCCAUUGACGGCAUCUGAUUUGGACGAAAGGUUUGGCGGUGAAGGAUGGGGAUGCGUCCGAUUAGCUGGACGGCGGGGUGACGGCCCACCGUGGCGACGAUCGGUAGGGGUUCUGAGAGGAAGGUCCCCCACACUGGAACUGAGACACGGUCCAGACUCCUACGGGAGGCAGCAGUGAGGAAUAUUGGUCAAUGGGCGUAAGCCUGAACCAGCCAAGUAGCGUGCAGGAUGACGGCCCUAUGGGUUGUAAACUGCUUUUAUGCGGGGAUAAAGUGGCCCACGUGUGGGUUUUUGCAGGUACCGCAUGAAUAAGGACCGGCUAAUUCCGUG